UAGGGANUCUUCGGCAAUGGGGGCAACCCUGACCGAGCAACGCCGCGUGAGUGAGGAAGGUUUUCGGAUCGUAAAGCUCUGUUGUAAGUCAAGAACGAGUGUGAGAGUGGAAAGUUCACACUGUGACGGUAGCUUACCAGAAAGGGACGGCUAACUACGUGCCAGCAGCCGCGGUAAUACGUAGGUCCCGAGCGUUGUCCGGAUUUAUUGGGCGUAAAGCGAGCGCAGGCGGUUUGAUAAGUCUGAAGUUAAAGGCUGUGGCUCAACCAUAGUUCGCUUUGGAAACUGUCAAACUUGAGUGCAGAAGGGGAGAGUGGAAUUCCAUGUGUAGCGGUGAAAUGCGUAGAUAUAUGGAGGAACACCGGUGGCGAAAGCGGCUCUCUGGUCUGUAACUGACGCUGAGGCUCGAAAGCGUGGGGAGCGAACAGGAUUAGAUACCCUGGUAGUCCACGCCGUAAACGAUGAGUGCUAGGUGUUGGAUCCUUUCCGGGAUUCAGUGCCGCAGCUAACGCAUUAAGCACUCCGCCUGGGGAGUACGACCGCAAGGNNG
RNAcentral lists this ribosomal RNA (550 nucleotides) under uncultured bacterium. Its description in RNAcentral is "bacterial SSU rRNA". It matches the Rfam family "Bacterial small subunit ribosomal RNA", at positions 355 to 896 of the family's 1533-position model. The record is from RNAcentral.